UCUAAGAUGGGGACAACAGCCCGAAAGGGCUGCUAAUACCGAAUGUUGUAUCUUUUGGCGCAUGGUGGAGAUAUUAAAGAUGGCCUCUACUUGUAAGCUAUCACUUAGAGAUGGGCCUGCGUCUGAUUAGCUGGUUGUGGGGUAACGGCUCACCAAGGCGACGAUCAGUAGCCGGUCUGAGAGGAUGAACGGCCACAUUGGGACUGAGACACGGCCCAGACUCCUACGGGAGGCAGCAGUGGGGAAUCUUCCGCAAUGGGCGAAAGCCUGACGGAGCAACGCCGCGUGAGUGAAGAAGGUCUUCGGAUCGUAAAGCUCUGUCGAAGGGGACGAAUGUAGCGCCUAUCAACAACGGGCGCUAAUGACGGUACCUUUCAAGAAAGCCACGGCUAACUACGUGCC
This 402-nucleotide ribosomal RNA is filed under the name uncultured bacterium. RNAcentral's name for it is "bacterial SSU rRNA". It matches the Rfam family "Bacterial small subunit ribosomal RNA", at positions 131 to 509 of the family's 1533-position model. The record is from RNAcentral.